UACAGAGGGGGCAAGCGUUGUUCGGAAUUACUGGGCGUAAAGGGCGUGUAGGCGGUCCGGUAAGUCCGCUGUGAAAGUCGGGGGCUCAACCCUCGGAUGCCGGUGGAUACUGUCGGGCUUGAGUACGGAAGAGGCGAGUGGAAUUCCUGGUGUAGCGGUGAAAUGCGCAGAUAUCAGGAGGAACACCAAUUGCGAAGGCAGCUCGCUGGGACGUUACUGACGCUGAGACGCGAAAGCGUGGGGAGCAAACAGG
Molecule: ribosomal RNA, 253 nt
Filed under: uncultured bacterium
Lineage: Bacteria
Description: partial 16S ribosomal RNA
Rfam family: Bacterial small subunit ribosomal RNA
Source: RNAcentral